This 486-nucleotide ribosomal RNA is filed under the name uncultured bacterium. RNAcentral's name for it is "partial 16S ribosomal RNA". It matches the Rfam family "Bacterial small subunit ribosomal RNA", at positions 30 to 507 of the family's 1533-position model. The record is from RNAcentral.
AUUGAACGCUGGCGGCAUGCCUUACACAUGCAAGUCGAACGGCAGCACGGGUGCUUGCACCUGGUGGCGAGUGGCGAACGGGUGAGUAAUACAUCGGAACAUGUCCUGUAGUGGGGGAUAGCCCGGCGAAAGCCGGAUUAAUACCGCAUACGAUCUACGGAUGAAAGCGGGGGACCUUCGGGCCUCGCGCUGUAGGGUUGGCCGAUGGCUGAUUAGCUAGUUGGUGGGGUAAAGGCCUACCAAGGCGACGAUCAGUAGCUGGUCUGAGAGGACGACCAGCCACACUGGGACUGAGACACGGCCCAGACUCCUACGGGAGGCAGCAGUGGGGAAUGUUGGACAAUGGGCGAAAGCCUGAUCCAGCAAUGCCGCGUGUGUGAAGAAGGCCUUCGGGUUGUAAAGCACUUUUGUCCGGAAAGAAAUCCUUGGCCCUAAUACGGUCGGGGGAUGACGGUACCGGAAGAAUAAGCACCGGCUAACUACGUG